GUUUUCAUAGUUGAAUACAACAGUAGUUUUUCAGACUGCAAGUCUAGGUUAAAAUCCUGGUGGAAAUU
This 68-nucleotide transfer RNA is filed under the name Anomaloglossus praderioi. Its description in RNAcentral is "tRNA-Glu". It matches the Rfam family "tRNA". Rfam says of the family: Transfer RNA (tRNA) molecules are approximately 80 nucleotides in length. The record is from RNAcentral. Lineage: Eukaryota; Metazoa; Chordata; Amphibia; Anura; Aromobatidae.